RNAcentral lists this ribosomal RNA (302 nucleotides) under uncultured Hyphomicrobiales bacterium. RNAcentral describes it as "bacterial SSU rRNA". It matches the Rfam family "Bacterial small subunit ribosomal RNA", at positions 20 to 352 of the family's 1533-position model. The record is from RNAcentral. Lineage: Bacteria; Pseudomonadati; Pseudomonadota; Alphaproteobacteria; Hyphomicrobiales.
UGGCUCAGAACGAACGCUGGCGGCAGGCCUAACACAUGCAAGUCGAGCGCCCCGCAAGGGGAGCGGCAGACGGGAGAGUAACACGUGGGAACGUACCCUUCAGUUCGGAACAACCAAGGGAAACUUUGGCUAAUACCGAAUACGUCCGUAAGGAGAAAGAUUUAUCGCUGAAGGAUCGGCCCGCGUCUGAUUAGCUAGUUGGUGGGGUAAUGGCCCACCAAGGCGAGGAUAAGUAGCUGGUCUGAGAGGAUGAUCAGCCUCACUGGGACUUUUUCUCGGCCCANAGACCUACGGGAGGCAGC